AACGAACGCUGGCGGCAUGCCUAACACAUGCAAGUCGAACGAGAACUUCGGGUCUAGUGGCGCACGGGUGCGUAACGCGUGGGAACCUGCCCUUAGGUUCGGAAUAACUCCCCGAAAGGGGUGCUAAUACCGGAUAAUGUCUUCGGACCAAAGAUUUAUCGCCUUUGGAUGGGCCCGCGUUGGAUUAGCUUGUUGGUAGGGUAAAAGCCUACCAAGGCGACGAUCCAUAGCUGGUCUGAGAGGAUGGUCAGCCACACUGGGACUGAGACACGGCCCAGACUCCUACGGGAGGCAGCAGUGGGGAAUAUUGGACAAUGGGCGAAAGCCUGAUCCAGCAAGGCCGCGUGAGUGAUGAAGGCCUUAGGGUUGUAAAGCUCUUUUACCCGGGAUGAUAAUGACAGUACCGGGAGAAUAAGCUCCGGCUAACUCCGUG
RNAcentral lists this ribosomal RNA (433 nucleotides) under uncultured bacterium. RNAcentral describes it as "partial 16S ribosomal RNA". It matches the Rfam family "Bacterial small subunit ribosomal RNA", at positions 29 to 507 of the family's 1533-position model. The record is from RNAcentral.